UACGUAGGGUCCGAGCGUUGUCCGGAAUUACUGGGCGUAAAGAGCUCGUAGGUGGUUUGUCGCGUUGUUCGUGAAAACUCACAGCUCAACUGUGGGCGUGCGGGCGAUACGGGCAGACUUGAGUACUGCAGGGGAGACUGGAAUUCCUGGUGUAGCGGUGGAAUGCGCAGAUAUCAGGAAGAACACCGGUGGCGAAGGCGGGUCUCUGGGCAGUAACUGACGCUGAGGAGCGAAAGCGUGGGGAGCGAACAGG
Molecule: ribosomal RNA, 253 nt
Filed under: uncultured bacterium
Lineage: Bacteria
Description: partial 16S ribosomal RNA
Rfam family: Bacterial small subunit ribosomal RNA
Source: RNAcentral